Long non-coding RNA from Alosa sapidissima (American shad), 211 nucleotides. RefSeq lists it as uncharacterized. The record is from RefSeq and is a predicted model, not a curated record. The transcript has 3 exons. Lineage: Eukaryota; Metazoa; Chordata; Actinopteri; Clupeiformes; Clupeidae.
GCUAAGCUGCUGUUACUGAAACGAGGGGCUGUUCCGACCGUAAGGUCAUCAAAACUGCAUGCUGUUUUAUCUUGCAGCCAUGCACUGCAAUGAGAAUGCUGAGUCCCCACAACAGAAGACAGCCAAGGAGAAACUAUGUACAGACUUGCCAAACAAUUUAUCAUCAAAGACCCUCUUCCUGAUUGGGAUGCCGUCCAGCGGAUUCCUGUGU